RNAcentral lists this ribosomal RNA (1413 nucleotides) under Triticum aestivum (bread wheat). RNAcentral's name for it is "partial small subunit ribosomal RNA". The record is from RNAcentral. Lineage: Eukaryota; Viridiplantae; Streptophyta; Magnoliopsida; Poales; Poaceae.
AUGAGCGCCAGCGCCACCACCUUGCGCGACGCCGCGGCCAUCCUCGGCGCCCUGUCCGCCGCCUCCGCGGCCCAGCUCCACGCGCCCGCCCUAAAGCUCGGGUUUCUCCCCUCCUGUCUCCACCUCUGCUCGUCCUUCCUCAAGUCCUACGCUGCGUCCGGCCGCCUGGCCUUCGCGCGCCAGCUGUUCGACGAAACCCCCCGCCGGGACAUCCCUCUAUGGAACACCCUCGUCUCCGCCUGCGCGCGCUCCCGUCAACCCCACCACGCCCUUCUCGCUGUGUCCGCCAUGGUGGGCGAGGGCUCCCGGCCCAACAACCUCUCGGUCACGAGCCUCUUGUCCGCGUGCGCGCAGCUGAGGAGUCUGGUGCACGGGAGAGAGCUCCACGGGUAUGCCGUGAGGAAUAUCCCUGUUCUUGAUUUGCGCGUUCUCAAUGCGCUGGUAAGCAUGUACGGGAGAUGCGGGCGGUUCGCUGAAGCGAGCACGGUGUUCGCCGGUAUGGAGAAUAAGAGCGUGGUUUCUUGGACCUGCAUGAUCAAUGCUUGCUGCGAGAAUGGACGCCCAGCAGAGGCGCUGGGGGUGUUCAACGAGAUGAGGCUUGCCGUUGUCAAGAUCGAUGAGGUCACCCUGCUCGCAGUCAUCUCAGCGUGCACAAAAUUGGAUUGUACGUCGGAGUUGGGGGAGUGGGUGGAGGUAUAUGCAAGCGAGAAUGGCUUCUUGGAGAACACCCGUGUCGCGAAUUCACUCAUCCAUAUGCAUGGUAAGAUGGGGAGGGUGAAGAAGUCAUGUCAGAUAUUUGACUCGAUGAGUGUGAGGACUGUGGUCUCAUGGACAGCCAUGAUACAGGCACUUGCUGUGCAUGGGCAUGGGGUGGCUGCCCUUGUUAGGUUUUCGCAGAUGCUCAGACAAGGGUUCUGGCCUGACGAGGUUAUCUUCUUAAGCGUGAUCAAUGCUUGUUGCCACUCCAGGCUAGUGAGUGAAGGGCGCCAGUUGUUCAAGUCUAUGGUCGAAGACUAUCACAUCACACCAUGGAUGGAGCACUAUGGAAGCAUGGUGGACCUGUUGUGCAGAUCUGGCAUGUUGGACGAGGCAUUUGAGUUUGUCCUGGCCAUGCCUGUGAAGCCUGAUCCCGUAAUAUGGCGUGUAUUGACCGGAGCAUGCCGUGAUCAUGGAAAUAUGAAUUUAGCGAGGAAGGUGAUGGAUCAUGUGAUCGACAUGGAGCCUGACCAUGAGGGGAAUUAUGUGCUUGCGUCAAAUUUAUAUGCUGCCAAUGAGAACUGGGGACGUGUUGUGGAUGUAAGGGUGGAGAUGGGUGUGAGGAAAGAGACGUCAAGAUGCAGUACUGCCCUGUCUUACAUUGAAGUCAAUGGUGAAGAAAAUGCAGAAUUCUUCUCUACUGCACAGCACCAGUAA